Molecule: ribosomal RNA, 433 nt
Filed under: uncultured bacterium
Lineage: Bacteria
Description: partial 16S ribosomal RNA
Rfam family: Bacterial small subunit ribosomal RNA
Source: RNAcentral
AACGAACGCUGGCGGCAUGCCUAACACAUGCAAGUCGAACGAGACCUUCGGGUCUAGUGGCGCACGGGUGCGUAACGCGUGGGAACCUGCCCUUAGGUUCGGAAUAACUCCCCGAAAGGGGUGCUAAUACCGGAUAAUGUCUUCGGGCCAAAGAUUUAUCGCCUUUGGAUGGGCCCGCGUUGGAUUAGCUAGUUGGUAGGGUAAAAGCCUACCAAGGCGACGAUCCAUAGCUGGUCUGAGAGGAUGAUCAGCCACACUGGGACUGAGACACGGCCCAGACUCCUACGGGAGGCAGCAGUGGGGAAUAUUGGACAAUGCGCGAAAGCCUGAUCCAGCAAUGCCGCGUGAGUGAUGAAGGCCUUAGGGUUGUAAAGCUCUUUUACCCGGGAUGAUAAUGACAGUACCGGGAGAAUAAGCUCCGGCUAACUCCGUG